RNAcentral lists this ribosomal RNA (496 nucleotides) under uncultured bacterium. RNAcentral describes it as "partial 16S ribosomal RNA". It matches the Rfam family "Bacterial small subunit ribosomal RNA", at positions 28 to 506 of the family's 1533-position model. The record is from RNAcentral.
GACGAACGCUGGCGGCGUGCCUAAUACAUGCAAGUUGAGCGCUGAAGGUUGGUACUUGUACCAACUGGAUGAGCAGCGAACGGGUGAGUAACGCGUGGGGAAUCUGCCUUUGAGCGGGGGACAACAUUUGGAAACGAAUGCUAAUACCGCAUAAAAACUUUAAACACAAGUUUUAAGUUUGAAAGAUGCAAUUGCAUCACUCAAAGAUGAUCCCGCGUUGUAUUAGCUAGUUGGUGAGGUAAAGGCUCACCAAGGCGAUGAUACAUAGCCGACCUGAGAGGGUGAUUGGCCACAUUGGGACUGAGACACGGCCCAAACCCCUACGGGAGGCAGCAGUAGGGAAUCUUCGGCAAUGGACGAAAGUCUGACCGAGCAACGCCGCGUGAGUGAAGAAGGUUUUCGGAUCGUAAAACUCUGUUGGUAGAGAAGAACGUUGGUGAGAGUGGAAAGCGCAUCAAGUGACGGUAACUACCCAGAAAGGGGCGGCUAACUACGU